Mytilus californianus (California mussel) is the source of this 683-nucleotide long non-coding RNA. RefSeq lists it as uncharacterized. The transcript is spliced from 3 exons. The record is from RefSeq and is a predicted model, not a curated record. Lineage: Eukaryota; Metazoa; Mollusca; Bivalvia; Mytilida; Mytilidae.
CCAGAUCACAGCUUACUGCUUUAUAUAGAUGCUUUACUUGAUCAGGGGAAAAAACCCAUGGAAAUAUUGUGCAAAGCAUGGAAAUGGGCUAGAGAUCAAGGGCAUUUUGAUGUGCACGAUAGAAGAUACUAUCUGACACCAGUUGACAUUAAGAAUAUAUGUCAACGUUACAAAAUGGAUAAAAGAAUUCACCAGAAUGAUGCUGUAGCUGUACACGAGCUAUGCACACAAAUACUGAAGGAAGAGAUAAUUUUCUACCAAGAAUUGAAAGAGUAAUUAUUCUUAUAUAAUAAUGUACUUUUGUAAAUUUUAAUAACUGAUAUAAGCAUAAUGCUGAUAAAGAGUAAUUCUGAAAUUACUGAUUGAUACCCUGUUUUGUUCUUCAGACAUGACUGGAUUGCCUUAUGUUCAAAUAGUUUUUAUAGUACUCGUCUGUCCAAUUUCGUAUAUGAUUUUGUCUGUAAAAUGUUUCAAUGAGAGCUGUACAGAUGAGUUUUCUGUAGACUGAACGUAUAUCUGACUUCUCAUAAUAGAUGAUUUGUAUUUUUGGUUUUUAUCCUUUUGAGUGUUUUUAGUGCUACACUUGUUCACAAGUCAUAUAUUUUGUCAAUAUAUUUUACAUUUUUGUCUUUUUCAGUUUUAAUAGAGGUUAUUUAAUAUGAGUACAAUGUAGCUAGUUUGUC